UACGUAGGUGGCGAGCGUUGUCCGGAUUUACUGGGCGUAAAGAGCGCGCAGGCGGUCGUUCAAGUCGGAUGUGAAAGCCCCCGGCUCAACUGGGGAGGGUCAUUCGAUACUGAUCGACUCGAAGGCAGGAGAGGGAAGCGGAAUUCCCGGUGUAGUGGUGAAAUGCGUAGAUAUCGAGAGGAACACCUGCGGCGAAGGCGGGUUGCUGGGCUGACACUGACGCUGAAGCGCGAAAGCUAGGGGAGCGAACGGG
Molecule: ribosomal RNA, 253 nt
Filed under: uncultured bacterium
Lineage: Bacteria
Description: partial 16S ribosomal RNA
Rfam family: Bacterial small subunit ribosomal RNA
Source: RNAcentral